This 497-nucleotide ribosomal RNA is filed under the name uncultured bacterium. Its description in RNAcentral is "partial 16S ribosomal RNA". It matches the Rfam family "Bacterial small subunit ribosomal RNA", at positions 28 to 507 of the family's 1533-position model. The record is from RNAcentral.
GAUGAACGCUGGCGGCGUGCCUAAUACAUGCAAGUCGAGCGAACAGACGAGGCGCUUGCUCCUCUCACGUUAGCGGCGCACGUGUGUGUCACACGUGUAUAACCUACCUAUAAGACUGGUAUCACUUCGGGACACCGGAGCUAAUCCCGGAUAAUCUACUGAACCGCAUGGUUCAAUAGUGAAAUACGGUUUUGCUGUCACUUCUAGAUGCUUCCGCGCCGCAUUAGCUGGUUGGUAAGGUACCGGCUUACCAAGGCGACGAUGCGUAUCCGCCCUGCGAGGGUGGGUGGCCACACUGGGACUGAGACAGGGUCCAGAGGGAUACGGGAAGGAGCCAUAGGGAAUCGUGCGGCAUGGGCGGAAGACUGACGGAGAAACGCCGAGGGAGUGAGGAAGAUCUUCGGAUCGUAAAAGUCUGUUAUUGGGGAGGAACAAAUGUGUAAGUAACUAGGAGCGUCUGGACGGUACCUAAGCAGAGAGCCACGGCUAACUACGUU